UACGGAGGGUGCAAGCGUUGUCCGGAAUCACUGGGCGUAAAGGGCGCGUAGGCGGCUCAUGAAGGCUGUGGUGAAAGUCCGGGGCUCAACCUCGGAUCGGCCGUGGCGACUCGUGGGCUGGAGCACUGUAGAGGCGGGUGGAAUUCCGGGUGUAGCGGUGGGAAUGCGUAGAUAUUCGCAAGAACACCAGUGGCGAAGGCGGCUCACUGGCCCGAUACUGACGCUGAGGCACGAAAGCGUGGGGAGCAAACAGG
RNAcentral lists this ribosomal RNA (254 nucleotides) under uncultured bacterium. RNAcentral describes it as "partial 16S ribosomal RNA". It matches the Rfam family "Bacterial small subunit ribosomal RNA", at positions 524 to 776 of the family's 1533-position model. The record is from RNAcentral.